Molecule: unclassified non-coding RNA, 22 nt
Filed under: Mus musculus (house mouse)
Lineage: Eukaryota; Metazoa; Chordata; Mammalia; Rodentia; Muridae
Description: oocyte_clustered_small_RNA8849
Source: RNAcentral
UGAUUAAGAAGAGACCAGCAAU